UGUAUAUCGAUUUCAGGAAGCAUUGGCCAAGGAUUUGUCAUCUGUGGACCAAGUUUGAUCUUAUUUUNAUUGUUCAAAUGGCGUUUCUCAAUUUACGAAUUUUUAAAGGUUGUACAUAAUAAAAAACUGUUUAAUGCACAUUACUAAUUCUCGUGUUUGUUUGUCUCAGGAAGUAUUGGAAAAAUAUUGAUCAUAUUAACAUUGAGUCCAGUGCUAUUGCAAGGGCUCUUUUACUGAAGACAACCAAUAC
Molecule: non-coding RNA, 250 nt
Organism: Cinara cedri
Lineage: Eukaryota; Metazoa; Arthropoda; Insecta; Hemiptera; Aphididae
Source: the annotation of a GenBank genome assembly